This 74-nucleotide transfer RNA is filed under the name Rhizobium leguminosarum. RNAcentral's name for it is "tRNA-Gln". It matches the Rfam family "tRNA". Rfam says of the family: Transfer RNA (tRNA) molecules are approximately 80 nucleotides in length. Their secondary structure includes four short double-helical elements and three loops (D, anti-codon, and T loops). Lineage: Bacteria; Pseudomonadati; Pseudomonadota; Alphaproteobacteria; Hyphomicrobiales; Rhizobiaceae. RNAcentral also lists the same sequence under 16 other names. The record is from RNAcentral.
UGGGGCGUCGCCAAGCGGUAAGGCAACGGUUUUUGGUACCGUCACCCCUGGUUCGAAUCCAGGCGCCCCAGCCA